Molecule: long non-coding RNA, 521 nt
Filed under: Homo sapiens (human)
Lineage: Eukaryota; Metazoa; Chordata; Mammalia; Primates; Hominidae
Description: HSALNT0296076
Source: RNAcentral
GCUUUUUGUUAUUGGCUUGUAAUGAGACAGGUAUAGAAACUAAAUUAUAUUUGUGUUACUUACCAGUGGUAAGCAACUAUUAUAAAAUUUGGUAUUACUGAAACAUACAAGCACAUAAUCAGACACAUUUUUGGAGCAGAAUAUAGAAUAGCUCAGAUGAUUUGAGAAGCACUGAUGGAGAAGUCGAGUUCCUUAUUCAGAUAUUAAGCCAAUCUUACUCUUUCCAAUGUCAUCUUGGUGACCCAAUUGUGACAAGAAUGUCCAGAUACAGUUUGGUGUUGUGAACUGGUUGGCUUCCCCGUUUUGCAGAUAGAACUACAAAAAUAGAAUACACACUCAAUGGGCUGACCAACUGAUUCAUAACAUCUUUAUUGGAGAAUGAACUUUCUUUUUCUCUCCAGGCCCCCUGUAACCCCUGUCUGGUAUUUUCUACAUGACUGAUUCCUCUCUAGAGCCAGAACUAUGGAAUCUUAAGAGAAUCUGUAUUUCUUUAAAAAGAAUAAAUAUCUUAUGACACUCUU